UACAGAGGGGGCUAGCGUUGUUCGGAAUGAUUGGGCGUAAAGGGUGCGUAGGUGGUUUGUUAAGUGAGAUGUUAAAGCCCAGGGCUUAACCUUGGAAUCGCGUUUCAUACUGGCAGACUAGAGUGUAGUAGAGGAAGCGGAAUUCCUAGUGUAGAGGUGAAAUUCGUAGAUAUUAGGAGGAACACCGGAGGCGAAGGCGGCUUUCUGGGCUAUUACUGACACUGAGGCACGAAAGCGUGGGGAGCAAACAGG
This 252-nucleotide ribosomal RNA is filed under the name uncultured bacterium. Its description in RNAcentral is "partial 16S ribosomal RNA". It matches the Rfam family "Bacterial small subunit ribosomal RNA", at positions 524 to 776 of the family's 1533-position model. The record is from RNAcentral.